AGUGAACGCUGGCGGUAGGCCUAACACAUGCAAGUCGAACGGCAGCACAGGAGAGCUUGCUCUCUGGGUGGCGAGUGGCGGACGGGUGAGGAAUACAUCGGAAUCUACUCUGUCGUGGGGGAUAACGUAGGGAAACUUACGCUAAUACCGCAUACGACCUACGGGGGAAAGCAAGGGACCUUCGGGCCUUGCGCGAUUGAAUGAGCCGAUGUCGGAUUAGCUAGUUGGCGGGGUAAAGGCCCACCAAGGCGACGAUCCGUAGCUGGUCUGAGAGGAUGAUCAGCCACACUGGAACUGAGACACGGUCCAGACUCCUACGGGAGGCAGCAGUGGGGAAUAUUGGACAAUGGGCGCAAGCCUGAUCCAGCCAUACCGCGUGGGUGAAGAAGGCCUUCGGGUUGUAAAGCCCUUUUGUUGGGAAAGAAAUCCAGCUGGCUAAUACCCGGUUGGGAUGACGGUACCCAAAGAAUAAGCACCGGCUAACUUCGUGCCAGCCGCCGCAGUAA
Molecule: ribosomal RNA, 506 nt
Filed under: uncultured bacterium
Lineage: Bacteria
Description: partial 16S ribosomal RNA
Rfam family: Bacterial small subunit ribosomal RNA
Source: RNAcentral